UACGAAGGGGGCUAGCGUUGCUCGGAAUCACUGGGCGUAAAGCGCACGUAGGCGGAUUGUUAAGUCAGGGGUGAAAUCCUGGAGCUCAACUCCAGAACUGCCUUUGAUACUGGCGAUCUCGAGUCCGGGAGAGGUGAGUGGAACUGCGAGUGUAGAGGUGAAAUUCGUAGAUAUUCGCAAGAACACCAGUGGCGAAGGCGGCUCACUGGCCCGGUACUGACGCUGAGGUGCGAAAGCGA
RNAcentral lists this ribosomal RNA (239 nucleotides) under uncultured bacterium. RNAcentral describes it as "partial 16S ribosomal RNA". It matches the Rfam family "Bacterial small subunit ribosomal RNA", at positions 524 to 762 of the family's 1533-position model. The record is from RNAcentral.